RNAcentral lists this ribosomal RNA (434 nucleotides) under uncultured bacterium. Its description in RNAcentral is "partial 16S ribosomal RNA". It matches the Rfam family "Bacterial small subunit ribosomal RNA", at positions 29 to 507 of the family's 1533-position model. The record is from RNAcentral.
AACGAACGCUGGCGGCAUGCCUAACACAUGCAAGUCGAACGAUGCUUUCGGGCAUAGUGGCGCACGGGUGCGUAACGCGUGGGAAUCUGCCCUGGGGUUCGGGAUAACAGCGGGAAACUGCUGCUAAUACCGGAUGAUAUCGCGAGAUCAAAGAUUUAUCGCCCUGGGAUGAGCCCGCGUCGGAUUAGGUAGUUGGUGGGGUAAGAGCCUACCAAGCCGACGAUCCGUAGCUGGUCUGAGAGGAUGAUCAGCCACACUGGGACUGAGACACGGCCCAGACUCCUACGGGAGGCAGCAGUGGGGAAUAUUGGACAAUGGGCGCAAGCCUGAUCCAGCAAUGCCGCGUGAGUGAUGAAGGCCUUAGGGUUGUAAAGCUCUUUUACCCGGGAUGAUAAUGACAGUACCGGGAGAAUAAGCCCCGGCUAAACUCCGUG